RNAcentral lists this ribosomal RNA (253 nucleotides) under uncultured bacterium. RNAcentral's name for it is "partial 16S ribosomal RNA". It matches the Rfam family "Bacterial small subunit ribosomal RNA", at positions 524 to 776 of the family's 1533-position model. The record is from RNAcentral.
UACGAAGGGGGCUAGCGUUGCUCGGAAUCACUGGGCGUAAAGGGUGCGUAGGCGGGGCUUUAAGUCAGGGGUGAAAUCCUGGAGCUCAACUCCAGAACUGCCUUUGAUACUGAGGAUCUUGAGUUCGGGAGAGGUGAGUGGAACUGCGAGUGUAGAGGUGAAAUUCGUAGAUAUUAGGAAGAACACCAGUGGCGAAGGCGACUCACUGGUCCGGUACUGACGCUGAGGUGCGAAAGCGUGGGGAGCAAACAGG